GUCCCAGGAGCUACAGAAUUAUAUUCAUGAACUUUGAAUGACUUCAGUCAAGUCACUUUUCUUCUCUAAGUCUUAUUUCUCAUCUGUAUAAUGUGAGUGAGAGGUGAGGGGUGGGUAGGGGAUAUUGGGUAGGUGGCUACCUGUGAUCUCUACAUUGGGUAGAGGGCUGUGUUCACUAGAGUUCCAGAUUUUCUGUGAUUCUAAGAAGCCUUUGGAAUCUUGGAGUGAGUAUUCCCAGGGAACUCUGAUGUGCUGAAAAGCUCUCCUACAUCGUUGAUGUCAGCUGUGCCUGAGGCUUUUUAAUGGGUCAACAGACCCCAAAGGCUAUCUAUUUAAUGGCUGUGUUCAGACCAAGGUCAGCCAUCCGUCUAAGUGGACAACAGAAACUAAACCCUAGUCCUAUAGCCUGGAUCUCCUAGUCCACACCUUGAUGCCACACAGAAUAAUUUCUCAGAGCAAUGAACUUCUAUAUUAAAGAUUACUCUGGUCAGGCAUGGUGGCUAAUGCCUGUAAUCG
This 516-nucleotide long non-coding RNA is filed under the name Homo sapiens (human). RNAcentral's name for it is "HSALNT0354603". The record is from RNAcentral. Lineage: Eukaryota; Metazoa; Chordata; Mammalia; Primates; Hominidae.